AGAUUGCUUUUUGUUCGACAUACAUGGAAAGAAUGUUCGAUGGAAAGGGGUCCUCCCGUUAUGUAUUCCGUGUGGUCAAGGGUUAGCUGAUUGUUAACAAAGUAUCGAAUGAAAAGGAAAGAAAUUGGUGUUAUUGGUGUUGUCAACUCUUCCGUUUUAUUUUUAUUUACCAAACGUUGACGCUUGUAGCGUACAUUUUCAGCAUGCAAGAUGCAGCCUCAAGUGGACGAUAUACAGCAAUAAUUAACUUGGUGUCGACCAAAGCUUCUACCGACUUCUGCCUGUAUACCCUGAGCCCUAAGCUCGAGUACACAUCACCAUCCAUGCGGCCUGGACAGCGAGAAAUAUAGGUUUUCAUCUAGAGAUGAUGGCGCGUGUCAGGUGGAUAGCAGGUUGUCUGGCGGUGAGAUGGGGUCUAACGUCAAUGUGUACGCCGUUUUGCCAUGAAAAGGGAGAGGGGUGUGGAUCUUGAAGGGCGGUGUACUUCUACCAACGGAUAUAUCAUGAUGAUGGUGUAGUCCGAUACCAUGACUGGAAAGUUCACCCGAUACAGUUCUCAUCAUGGUGGAGGAUGAUCAAGGAUCCAGUUUAUAUCUGCCGGUCCCCGAAUCCGAGGAACUUUACACAUUUUAAGGAUUUAAAAUAAAUCCAGAUAUAUUAUGCUGUGAAUAGUGACCAUGCAGGCGAAUAUUACAUUCUUAAGGGUUAAUCCUUAUACGUUUGAAUAUCAAAGGAUUUGAAUUCCAAUUUUUUUAGCUAUGUAACUGAAUCACAGUCGAUCUGGAUUUAUUUCAAAUCUGAUUGCUCUUUUUUAACCUGUAUGGUACAUUACGUCUUAGUGCUGUAUUUAUCUCCUUUUUUUGGGGGGCGGGUGGUGUUUAUCUUCAUUCACUAUGCAUUUGGACAUGGUUAAAUGAAAAAAAAAAUCAUAAUCAGAAGUUCAAAACUUCAGGAAUACCAUACAUUCUAUAUAGCGCAUACCCCCCCCCCCAUAAGGUUAUGUGAUAAAAAUAAUAACUCAGUAUAAGGCAAACAAUCUAGGGCCAUUUUAAAGUGGGUUACAUUAUUUUCUUUCCUGGGAAGUAAGAAACAGGAUUUUUCAUGAAACUCUUAUUGAUGAAUUAGAAGAACAAUACUGAACAAAAGUCCCGUUUGCUUAAUUUCCUUUUCACUGUUUGGGAAAUGGAUUUGAAUAAUUAGAGAAAAUUCAAACAGUCAAAAUUUCAUCAAAACCAUCAGAUGUAAAAUAAGAUUAUUUUCAUACGCACAAAAGGGAUCAAAUGUAAAUGAGAGAGUCGACGAUGUCACACACUCACUAUUUCUCUUGUAUUCUAUUUCAUGAAACAUAGACCAUUUCAAAUUUGGCAGAUUUGACCAUUCAGUAGAGAGCAUCUUCAUUGAAUAACAAUAGGCCUAAAUGCAAGGAUGAUGGCAAUCUCAUAAAUUCAUGGAAGAUUCAAACCUUGUUUCACAUCAUGAGGAAAUGUGAAGAUAUCUCAUAAUUCACAUAAUGAAAAAUGAAAUGCAAAAUGACUGAGUAGUGAGUGGGUUAACGUCAUCAGUUCCCUCAUUUGCAUACUGACCGGAAUUAAGCGAAACUUGGAAAGUCCAUAACUUUCUUAUUUUGCAACCGAUUAUGAGUAGAUUUUCACCUUGGUUACAAAAGAAUUGCACCACGGGAAAAUCCGAAAAAUAAGUUCUUCUACAAAUGGCAUCGUGCUAAAUUUUAUAAUUUUAUUUUGCCUGGUGUGUAUUUCAUAAAGCAGUUUGUAAGUUACGACUGACUCAACGCUGGAUUGGCGACCCUUUCUUGUGCUAAAUGAUCCAUGUCGCCAACUUAAACUGCAUAAAGUCAUGCGUAACUUAACAAAGAACUUUAUACAAUAAUCAUCUGGGCCCCGUCUUAUGAAGAGUUACGAUUGAUCCGAUCAACUUUAAGUAUAUGGAAAUCCAUCAAUGUCAUACUUUUUUUUAUUUAGAAAAUUUGCACAAUGUCCUUCUUGAAAACAAAGAGAAGCACACUGAAUUGUCACGGUGAGUGUAUGAAUAUACAUCGUGAUUUUUUUUCAUAUCUAAAAAUAUUUAGAAAAAACGGGUAUUUUAGAUGUUGACGUUGCUGGCUUUCCAUAGUUGUGGUUGACUGGAUCAAUAGUAACACUUUGAAAGAUGGGGCCCUGGUUAGUAAACGAUUGUGUUACA
Long non-coding RNA from Lytechinus pictus (painted urchin), 2199 nucleotides. RefSeq lists it as uncharacterized. The transcript has 2 exons. The record is from RefSeq and is a predicted model, not a curated record. NCBI's taxonomy places the organism in Eukaryota, Metazoa, Echinodermata, Echinoidea, Temnopleuroida, Toxopneustidae.